RNAcentral lists this ribosomal RNA (429 nucleotides) under Actinomycetes bacterium. RNAcentral describes it as "Actinobacteria bacterium partial 16S ribosomal RNA". It matches the Rfam family "Bacterial small subunit ribosomal RNA", at positions 355 to 776 of the family's 1533-position model. The record is from RNAcentral. Lineage: Bacteria; Bacillati; Actinomycetota; Actinomycetes.
UAGGGAAUCUUCCGCAAUGGGCGAAAGCCUGACGGGGCAACGCCGCGUGAGUGAUGAAGGUCUUCGGAUCGUAAAACUCUGUUAUUAGGGAAGAACAAAUGUGUAAGUAACUAUGCACGUCUUGACGGUACCUAAUCAGAAAGCCACGGCUAACUACGUGCCAGCAGCCGCGGUAAUACGUAGGUGGCAAGCGUUAUCCGGAAUUAUUGGGCGUAAAGCGCGCGUAGGCGGUUUUUUAAGUCUGAUGUGAAAGCCCACGGCUCAACCGUGGAGGGUCAUUGGAAACGGGAAAAGUUGAGUGCAGAAGAGGAAAGUGGAAUUCCAUGUGGAGCGGUGAAAUGCGCAGAGAUAUGGAGGAACACCAGUGGCGAAGGCGACUUUCUGGUCUGUAACUGACGCUGAUGGGCGAAAGCGUGGGGAUCAAACAGG